This 1988-nucleotide ribosomal RNA is filed under the name wastewater metagenome. RNAcentral's name for it is "bacterial LSU rRNA". It matches the Rfam family "Bacterial large subunit ribosomal RNA", at positions 1 to 2002 of the family's 2925-position model. The record is from RNAcentral.
GAAAGUAAAUAAGGGCACACGGGGGAUGCCUAGGCUCUCAGAGGCGAUGAAGGACGUGAUAAGCUGCGAUAAGCUUCGGGGAUUAGCAAAUGUGAGAUUGAUCCGAAGAUUUCCGAAUGGGGCAACCUAGCAUACUGAAGGUAUGCUGUAAAAUACGCGAACGCGCUGAACUGAAACAUCUAAGUAGGCGUAGGAGAAGAAAAUAAUAAUGAUUUCCCAAGUAGUGGCGAGCGAACGGGAAAGAGCCCAAACCAACUUUGUUACGGCAUGGUUGGGGUUGUAGGGCUGCGAAGUGGCAUUAGCAAACAGAAGUGGAAUGGGAUGGGAAGCCCAGCGAUACACGGUGAUAGCCCUGUACACGUAUAGAAUGCUAGCCUAGCAGUACCCUGAGUACCGCGGGGUCGGAGACGCCCUGUGGGAAUCUGUCAGCACCAUCUGAUAAGGCUAAAUACUCCUGAGAGACCGAUAGUGAACUAGUACCGUGAGGGAAAGGUGAAAAGAACCUCGAACAGAGGAGUGAAAAGAACCUGAAACCGUGUGCUUACAAGCGGUCGGAGCUGGCAGGUCCAGUGACGGCGUGCCUUUUGCAUAAUGAGCCUACGAGUUACUCUUGUCUGGCAAGGUUAAGUGGUUCAGCCACGUAUCCGAAGCGAAAGCGAGUCUUAAUAGGGCGCAUAGUCAGAUGAGGUAGACGCGAAACCUUGUGAUCUACCCUUGGGCAGGUUGAAGUUGCAGUAACAUGUAAUGGAGGACCGAACCGAUAAACGUUGAAAAGUUUCCGGAUGACCUGAGGGUAGGGGUGAAAGGCUAAUCAAACUGGGAAAUAGCUCGUACUCCCCGAAAUGUUUUUAGGAACAGCGUCGGCAUGGAGUCUUAUAGAGGUAGAGCUACCGAUUGGGUGCGGGGGAGUCAAAUCCUACCAAAUCCAGACGAACUCCGAAUGCUAUAAGAUAUGGCCGGCAGUGAGGCUUUGGGUGCUAAGGUCCAAGGCCGAGAGGGAAAGAACCCAGACCAUCAGCUAAGGUCCCUAAAUAUACGCUAAGUUGAACUAACGAGGUCCGAUUGCCUAGACAGCUAGGAUGUUGGCUUGGAAGCAGCCAUUCAUUUAAAGAGUGCGUAACAGCUCACUAGUCGAGCGAUCGGGCGUGGAUAAUAAACGGGCAUCAAGUGUAUUACCGAAGCUAUGGAUUCAUACUGAAAUAUGUAUGUCUGGUAGGGGAGCAUUCUAUUUACGGCGAAGCGGUCUGGUAAUGGUCCGUGGAGUGGAUAGAAAAGCAAAUGUAGGCAUAAGUAACGAUAAGGCGGGUGAGAAACCCGCCCACCGAAAGACUAAGGUUUCCUGAUCAACGCUAAUCGGAUCAGGGUUAGUCGGGGCCUAAGGCGCAUCCGAAGGGAGCAAGCCGAUGGACAACUGGUUAAUAUUCCAGUACUUUUUAUAACUGCGAUGUGGUGACGGAGUAGUGACACUGCCGCGAACUGACGGAAUAGUUCGUUAAAAGGCGUAGGUAUAGGGACGGUAGGCAAAUCCGCCGACCCUGCUGAAACCCAAUAGUACAGCAAAGCUUCGGCGGCGCUGAUAGAGCAGGUAAACAGACUUCCAAGAAAACCCGCUAAGCUUCAGGUUAUAAAAACCCGUACCGUAAACCGACACAGGUAGUCGAGGAGAGAAUCCUAAGGUGCUCGAGUGAAUCAUGGCUAAGGAACUCGGCAAAAUGGCCCUGUAACUUCGGGAGAAGGGGCGCUUCCUCCAGCAAUGGAGAAGCCGCAGUGAAAAGGCCCAGGCGACUGUUUAACAAAAACAUAUGGCUUUGCAAAAUCGAAAGAUGAAGUAUAAGGCCUGACACCUGCCCGGUGCUGGAAGGUUAAGAGGGGAUGUCAUCGCAAGAGAAGCAUUGAAUCGAAGCCCCAGUAAACGGCGGCCGUAACUAUAACGGUCCUAAGGUAGCGAAAUUCCUUGUCGGGUAAGUUCCGACCUGCACGAAUGGUGU